UAGAUAAGGUGUAUGAUGCUACAAUGUAUG
RNAcentral lists this non-coding RNA (30 nucleotides) under Mus musculus (house mouse). The record is from RNAcentral. Lineage: Eukaryota; Metazoa; Chordata; Mammalia; Rodentia; Muridae.